CGAGGGCAUGUGUUAUACACACUUACUUCAUCAGCGGUUUUAAGAAGACAGCCCGUGUCUCAAAAGCUCCCACUCUCCCCUGGAAGCUUUCAUCCACUGUUCGGGACAGCUGUAUUUCCCUCAGCUCAGUCCACGGCCUUAAUCCAAAAGGCUCUGCCGCUAAUUUCAUUGGUUCCAUCAGGCUCAUUUCCUUUGGCACAUGACAGGGGAAAUGACAAUUAUUUUCUCAGACUGAGCUCUAAGUUGUUCAUUUGGCAAAAUAAAAUUUCAAAUUACUGGUUUUUCUGUUUUGAUUCACAGAAAUGACCAGGCCAGUUACAGAGAAUGCGC
This 330-nucleotide long non-coding RNA is filed under the name Equus caballus (horse). RNAcentral describes it as "lncRNA (ENSECAG00000056700.1)". The record is from RNAcentral. Lineage: Eukaryota; Metazoa; Chordata; Mammalia; Perissodactyla; Equidae.